RNAcentral lists this ribosomal RNA (1344 nucleotides) under uncultured bacterium. RNAcentral describes it as "16S ribosomal RNA". It matches the Rfam family "Bacterial small subunit ribosomal RNA", at positions 28 to 1378 of the family's 1533-position model. The record is from RNAcentral.
GACGAACGUUGGCGGCGUUGCUUAACACAUGCAAGUCGAACGGAAAGGCCCUGCUUUUGUGGGGUGCUCGAGUGGCGAACGGGUGAGUAACACGUGAGUAACCUGCCCUUGACUUUGGGAUAACUUCAGGAAACUGGGGCUAAUACCGGAUAGGAGCUCCUGCUGCAUGGUGGGGGUUGGAAAGUUUCGGCGGUUGGGGAUGGACUCGCGGCUUAUCAGCUUGUUGGUGGGGUAGUGGCUUACCAAGGCUUUGACGGGUAGCCGGCCUGAGAGGGUGACCGGCCACAUUGGGACUGAGAUACGGCCCAGACUCCUACGGGAGGCAGCAGUGGGGAAUAUUGCACAAUGGGCGGAAGCCUGAUGCAACAACGCCGCGUGCGGGAUGACGGCCUUCGGGUUGUAAACCGCUUUCGCCUGUGACGAAGCGUGAGUGACGGUAAUGGGUAAAGAAGCACCGGCUAACUACGUGCCAGCAGCCGCGGUGAUACGUAGGGUGCGAGCGUUGUCCGGAUUUAUUGGGCGUAAAGGGCUCGUAGGUGGUUGAUCGCGUCGGAAGUGUAAUCUUGGGGCUUAACCCUGAGCGUGCUUUCGAUACGGGUUGACUUGAGGAAGGUAGGGGAGAAUGGAAUUCCUGGUGGAGCGGUGGAAUGCGCAGAUAUCAGGAGGAACACCAGUGGCGAAGGCGGUUCUCUGGGCCUUUCCUGACGCUGAGGAGCGAAAGCGUGGGGAGCGAACAGGCUUAGAUACCCUGGUAGUCCACGCUGUAAACGGUGGGUACUAGGUGUGGGGUCCAUUCCACGGGUUCCGUGCCGUAGCUAACGCUUUAAGUACCCCGCCUGGGGAGUACGGCCGCAAGGCUAAAACUCAAAGGAAUUGACGGGGCCCCGCACAAGCGGCGGAGCAUGCGGAUUAAUUCGAUGCAACGCGUAGAACCUUACCUGGGUUUGACAUGGAUCGGGAGUGCUCAGAGAUGGGUGUGCCUCUUUUGGGGUCGGUUCACAGGUGGUGCAUGCCUGUCGUCAGCUCGUGUCGUGAGAUGUUGGGUUAAGUCCCGCAACGAGCGCAACCCUUGUUCACUGUUGCCAGCACGUUAUGGUGGGGACUCAGUGGAGACCGCCGGGGUCAACUCGGAGGAAGGUGGGGAUGACGUCAAGUCAUCAUGCCCCUUAUGUCCAGGGCUUCACGCAUGCUACAAUGGCUGGUACAGAGAGUGGCGAGCCUGUGAGGGUGAGCGAAUCUCGGAAAGCCGGUCUCAGUUCGGAUUGGGGUCUGCAACUCGACCCCAUGAAGUCGGAGUCGCUAGUAAUCGCAAAUCAGCAACGCUGCGGUGAAUACGUUCCCGGG